This 241-nucleotide transfer RNA is filed under the name Pneumocystis jirovecii. Its description in RNAcentral is "tRNA-Pseudo(AAA)". Lineage: Eukaryota; Fungi; Ascomycota; Pneumocystomycetes; Pneumocystales; Pneumocystaceae. The record is from RNAcentral.
AGAUAAAAAGUCUAGGAUUGAGUUUUUUUUAAAAAUACGCUUUUUCAAUGUUUUUAUAAAGUUUUUGUUUUUAAUAAGUUUUAAAGUUAUUAAUAUAUUUAUGUUAUUAUAUAUAUUAUUAAAAUUUAUGUAGAAGAUAUAAUUAGAAAAUAUGAUUUUUAGAAAAAAAUAAAUAAAAUUAUUACACUUUUUAGGAUAAAUUUAAAAUAAAGAAUCAUUUAUUUAAAAUAAUUUUUAUCUU